RNAcentral lists this ribosomal RNA (253 nucleotides) under uncultured bacterium. Its description in RNAcentral is "partial 16S ribosomal RNA". It matches the Rfam family "Bacterial small subunit ribosomal RNA", at positions 524 to 776 of the family's 1533-position model. The record is from RNAcentral.
UACGAAGGGGGCUGGCGUUGCUCGGAAUUACUGGGCGUAAAGCGCACGUAGGCGGCUUUCUAAGUCGGGGGUGAAAUCCUGGAGCUCAACUCCAGAACUGCCUUCGAUACUGGAAAGCUCGAGUCCGGGAGAGGUGAGUGGAACUGCGAGUGUAGAGGUGAAAUUCGUAGAUAUUCGCAAGAACACCAGUGGCGAAGGCGGCUCACUGGCCCGGUACUGACGCUGAGGUGCGAAAGCGUGGGGAGCAAACAGG